UGGGGCGUGGCCAAGUG
Molecule: transfer RNA, 17 nt
Filed under: Aegilops peregrina
Lineage: Eukaryota; Viridiplantae; Streptophyta; Magnoliopsida; Poales; Poaceae
Description: partial tRNA-Gln
Source: RNAcentral